UACGGAGGGUGCGAGCGUUGUUCGGAAUUACUGGGCGUAAAGCGCGUGUAGGCGGCACUACAAGUCGGGUGUGAAAGCCCAUGGCUCAACCAUGGAACUGCGCUCGAAACUGUAGAGCUAGAAUACGGGAGGGGGAUGCGGAAUUCUUGGUGUAGAGGUGAAAUUCGUAGAUAUCAAGGGGAACAUCCGUAGCGAAGGCGGCAUCCUGGACCGAUAUUGACGCUGAGACGCGAAAGCGUGGGUAGCGAACAGG
Molecule: ribosomal RNA, 253 nt
Filed under: uncultured bacterium
Lineage: Bacteria
Description: partial 16S ribosomal RNA
Rfam family: Bacterial small subunit ribosomal RNA
Source: RNAcentral